AGUAAAAUGACCGAGAUUUAGGUGAUAAAUUGUAAAUUUAUUUACGGAAUUAUUCCUUUUACUA
RNAcentral lists this transfer RNA (64 nucleotides) under Sclerotia aquatilis. RNAcentral describes it as "tRNA-Tyr". The record is from RNAcentral. RNAcentral also lists the same sequence under 4 other names. Lineage: Eukaryota; Metazoa; Arthropoda; Insecta; Coleoptera; Lampyridae.